ACUCUUCAACCCACCAGUUUCUAGUGAACUGUUGUGGUGUUUGGAUUUUGAGCGUUGCUAGUCUGACUAGCUCGUUCGUAAUAUAUUAGCAUCUCUAAUUCGAAUUCGGAUUGACUCAGUGUAAUAGACUAUUCGCUGAGGACACUUUUAUUAGUGGCCGGACUAGAAACCAGUAGAAGCUUCCAACUAUUGUAGUCAUUUCUAU
Molecule: unclassified non-coding RNA, 205 nt
Filed under: uncultured Rhodotorula
Lineage: Eukaryota; Fungi; Basidiomycota
Description: sequence contains ITS2
Source: RNAcentral